This 497-nucleotide ribosomal RNA is filed under the name uncultured bacterium. RNAcentral describes it as "partial 16S ribosomal RNA". It matches the Rfam family "Bacterial small subunit ribosomal RNA", at positions 28 to 507 of the family's 1533-position model. The record is from RNAcentral.
GACGAACGCUGGCGGCGUGCCUAAUACAUGCAAGUAGAACGCUGAAGCUUGGUGCUUGCACCGAGCGGAUGAGUUGCGAACGGGUGAGUAACGCGUAGGUAACCUGCCUGGUAGCGGGGGAUAACUAUUGGAAACGAUAGCUAAUACCGCAUAACAGUAGAUAUUGCAUGAUAUCUGCUUGAAAGGUGCAAAUGCAUCACUACCAGAUGGACCUGCGUUGUAUUAGCUAGUUGGUGAGGUAACGGCUCACCAAGGCGACGAUACAUAGCCGACCUGAGAGGGUGAUCGGCCACACUGGGACUGAGACACGGCCCAGACUCCUACGGGAGGCAGCAGUAGGGAAUCUUCGGCAAUAGGGGGAACCCUGACCGAGCAACGCCGCGUGAGUGAAGAAGGUUUUCGGAUCGUAAAGCUCUGUUGUAAGAGAAGAACGAGUGUGAGAGUGGAAAGUUCACACUGUGACGGUAUCUUACCAGAAAGGGACGGCUAACUACGUG